UACGUAGGGGGCAAGCGUUGUCCGGAAUCAUUGGGCGUAAAGCGCGUGUAGGCGGCUCGGUAAGUCCGCUCUGAAAGUCCAGGGCUCAACCCUGGGAUGCGGGUGGAUACUGCCGGGCUCGAGUCCGGAAGAGGCGAGUGGAAUUCUCGGUGUAGCGGUGAAAUGCGUAGAUAUCGAGAGGAACACCUGCGGCGAAGGCGGGUUGCUGGGCUGACACUGACGCUGAAGCGCGAAAGCUAGGGGAGCGAACGGG
This 253-nucleotide ribosomal RNA is filed under the name uncultured bacterium. RNAcentral's name for it is "partial 16S ribosomal RNA". It matches the Rfam family "Bacterial small subunit ribosomal RNA", at positions 524 to 776 of the family's 1533-position model. The record is from RNAcentral.